CCAGAAGCUCCUGUAUCGUGAUCCAGUUGUCCAGGAUCCUGCGACUGCGCUUCUUCACGCGACUGCGGUGGCACAGCUCCAGGACGGAGGCGGUAUCUAUGGCUUCAGUGCUUCUGACCAGAAGGCCCAGCACUCGAGGAUCAGAGAAAGGAUGGAAGCAGCUCCGUGGUCCUGAGUGACGGCGAUGCCGUUUCGGGCUCACCGGACCACAAUACAUCACUGCUCCAACACCUCGAAAUAUCUUCUUUCCCGACACGACCACCAGCUCUCACACGAUGGAUGUGCAUGCAACGUGAUGAACUGCUCUGCAUGCACCAAACCGUGAACCCAUCUCCUGCCAUCCCUGUUGGCUCCACUCAUGGCCACGCCCGUCUGGACGCCACGUGCAGAUACUCUGCUUGACGGAGCUGAAGUGUUUCUUAGAAGACGGCUGUGUGGCGACACAGUUGACCUCACGUUGCCAGAUCACUGGAAUUAUUAGAUGUCCACUCUCAAAGUCGUUAACCUGCAUGCGGUCGGCGUCAUUACUUCUGACCCCUGUUAGAUAAGGUCAGUGAUUUAUGGAAUGCUUUGUGAAGUCAUUUCAGCCUUCUUUUCCUCUUUGCUCCGAAAUCUAUUCCUCUCAGGGAAAAUGGCAGGAAAAGAAUAAAUGGUUAAAAUAGGCAGAUUAGAGAGGGAAGGAGGUCAGACCGUUUAAUUUCAUCCCCCUUUGACUCAUUAUCAUGCCUGUAUUUGGACUCUGUCUCCCUCCAUGUUUUUCUUUCUCUUGGCAUUGCCUCUGGCACCAGAUGCGGCCCAGUUAACUGGCCCGGAGCCCGACUCCAGCAUGCCAGGGACCCAGCUGAGGCUUCUGAUGCUACAGAUACGGAAAGUGUUGCUCUGCAUACCCACGAGUGCUGAGGAUUUGUCGUGCUUCGUAAGCAUGGGACUUAUUUUGGUCACUGCAUGUAUCACAGAGUCACUGAGCAGCAGCAGCUUCCUUAGGCAGCCAGAUGCACUUACUCACAUACAGUCCGUGGUCCCAGUUGGCAGGUGGUGCUCAGGCUGUAACCGUGGCAACCCCUCUUUCUCAUAACACAGCAGGACUCUACUUUCCUCACGCCAGCGACUCGCUCUACGCAGUUUACCGCUGCUCUCUCCGAUCGUAAUCAUUGUAAUCGGAGUGAAAUAUCAUUAUCAUAAUUAUCUGUAUUAUUGUCACUGAUUUACUAUUUCCAUAAAUAGCCUUGCUCAUCAUCAUUUCCACCGAUUUCAUUUUUUGGCUAAUUUAUUUACUUAAAAUCUACACAAAAGGCCAACAAGUUCAUCUAAAAGUGAGAUGUGUCACAUGAUCUGUAGCUUAUAUUAAAUGAAUCAGUCCUGUUCAAUGCAGUCACAGUUUAAUUCACCGAAUUAAUUGUAUUAAUUGUUCAAUGUUAUGUGAUUAUCAUAGCCCAGUGAGUGUUAUAAUGGUGCUAAUGUUUCAUUUUUACUCGUUCAUAAAUGACCUGAUGUUACUAUCUUUGACAUUACCAUGAAUCCAAAUAAUUGUGGUUAGAUGCAAAAUGUAUAAUUGGUUUUAAACUGGUUGUUGGGAAUACGUAAAUGAUGUGGGUUCAUUGAGUGUCAACGUGAUGAGCUUCUGUUGAUUUUUUUACUGCAGACAUUUUUGUCUGAGCUGUUUUGAUUUUCACUCAUCCAGCAGCAUCGCUGUAAGAAAGAUUAAGAAAGAAUAACAAUGACAACUUUAAGGAGACACAAAGGAAAAAAAGAAGAAGAAAAAAAGAGAGAGAGAGAGAGGACUGAGUGCUCACCUGGAACAUGACCCUGUAUUGUUCCUCAGGCUUUUGAACCAUGCACAUGUUGCACCCCAUAGUGACUU
Long non-coding RNA from Pseudoliparis swirei, 1861 nucleotides. RefSeq lists it as uncharacterized. The record is from RefSeq and is a predicted model, not a curated record. Lineage: Eukaryota; Metazoa; Chordata; Actinopteri; Perciformes; Liparidae. The transcript is spliced from 3 exons.